GCACUGUGGGAGAGUUGUUUGGAACUGGGAGCCUGAUGUCAUUGUGGGGGGCUGCUGGCACUAUGCAGGGCUGCUGUCUCUCGCGGUGUUUAUGUAACUUGGGGGGAUUAUGGCUUCUGUCGGAUUAAUUUUUUUAAUUAUUUUAUUAUUAGGGUCGUACAAAAAAAGAAAAAAAGAGAUCUGCGGUGGGGAAGCCAAUAUCGAUAUUUUAAAAAAUGUCAUCUAAGAAGACAUCAUCAAUCGACUGGCGUAACCCACCCAGAAGGCGCCGCCAUAUCCAGUGGCCCAUUUCUUCAUCAUCUUCAGAGGAGGGCUCUCCCGAAGUGGGCGGUGCUGCCGGGGCCAGCUCACCAGCAUCCAGGGGAGGUGGACCAAGCCCGGACCGGGGCUGUCAAGAACAAUCUGCACCUAGAG
Molecule: long non-coding RNA, 414 nt
Organism: Bufo gargarizans (Asiatic toad)
Lineage: Eukaryota; Metazoa; Chordata; Amphibia; Anura; Bufonidae
Exons: 4
Source: RefSeq, a predicted model, not a curated record